GACGAACGCUGGCGGCGUGCCUAAUACAUGCAAGUCGAACGCUGAAGGAGGAGCUUGCUUCUCUGGAUGAGUUGCGAACGGGUGAGUAACGCGUAGGUAACCUGCCUGGUAGCGGGGGAUAACUAUUGGAAACGAUAGCUAAUACCGCAUAAGAUUGACUAUUGCAUGAUAGUCAGUUAAAAGGUGCAAUUGCAUCACUACCAGAUGGACCUGCGUUGUAUUAGCUAGUUGGUGGGGUAACGGCUCACCAAGGCGACGAUACAUAGCCGACCUGAGAGGGUGAUCGGCCACACUGGGACUGAGACACGGCCCAGACUCCUACGGGAGGCAGCAGUAGGGAAUCUUCGGCAAUGGACGGGAGUCUGACCGAGCAACGCCGCGGGAGUGAAGAAGGGUGUCGGAUCGUAAAGCUCUGUUGUAAGAGAAGAACGAGUGUGAGAGUGGAAAGUUCACACUGUGACGGUAGCUGACCAGAAAGGGACGGCUAACUACGUG
RNAcentral lists this ribosomal RNA (495 nucleotides) under uncultured bacterium. RNAcentral's name for it is "partial 16S ribosomal RNA". It matches the Rfam family "Bacterial small subunit ribosomal RNA", at positions 28 to 507 of the family's 1533-position model. The record is from RNAcentral.